This 76-nucleotide transfer RNA is filed under the name Staphylococcus aureus. RNAcentral describes it as "tRNA-Lys". It matches the Rfam family "tRNA". From Rfam's summary of the family: Transfer RNA (tRNA) molecules are approximately 80 nucleotides in length. Their secondary structure includes four short double-helical elements and three loops (D, anti-codon, and T loops). The record is from RNAcentral. RNAcentral also lists the same sequence under 1 other name. Lineage: Bacteria; Bacillati; Bacillota; Bacilli; Caryophanales; Staphylococcaceae.
GAGCCAUUAGCUCAGUUGGUAGAGCAUCUGACUUUUAAUCAGAGGGCCAGAGGUUCGAAUCCUCUAUGGCUCACCA